GGUCGAUUAGUGUAGUUGGUUAUCACAUCGGAUUCUGAUCAUGCUUAGAUCUACCUUCCGGUAACCGGGGUUCGAAUCCCCGAUUGACCU
Pestalotiopsis sp. 9143b is the source of this 90-nucleotide non-coding RNA. The record is from the annotation of a GenBank genome assembly. NCBI's taxonomy places the organism in Eukaryota, Fungi, Ascomycota, Sordariomycetes, Amphisphaeriales, Sporocadaceae.